Homo sapiens (human) is the source of this 1822-nucleotide long non-coding RNA. The record is from Ensembl. NCBI's taxonomy places the organism in Eukaryota, Metazoa, Chordata, Mammalia, Primates, Hominidae.
ACAGAGAAUAAAGACCUUGUGAAGUCUAUGGUCUCCCUAGAUCAGAUUUAGAAACCACAAAGAUCAAAGUGACAAGUACCCGUCCAAAAUUUUCUGGAUGACUUUCUUUAGAAAAGGGGCUUCUGGAUCAAGACAAAUUUCCUUCCCGUUCUUCAGGGAGGCUCUGAAGGAAAGAAAAAGAAGAUACACUCAUGAGAUACCAAGGUUGAAGACCCAGGCUGCGGGAUUUCUCUCUUGCCAAGGUCACAGCGGACACAGCAGCACAGAACUUACACCACUUCCACCUUGGAGCACUGUGGGCCUAUGGCGAACACUUGCAGAUUACUGAUCAUUUUGGGAUGAACUCCUUGCGUGGUCUGUAAACAAACGCAACGCAGCUCUCUCAACACAGCAGCGGCAGGACCAGCUGGGGAAGAAAGAGAGACACCCUUUAUAGGGCAGGUUGCUGGGAGAGUUCCCUGGAACGCAGCGACCCCGCAGAGGCUGGGAUGCACCUCUGUGCCCGAGUGCGAGUGCGUCCCGCGCGCCAUGCGCUCUCACCGCUGGCGAUGGGCCCUGGCUGCGUCAGCAGCAGCAGCAGCACCAACAGCGCGCACAAGGAGCUCGAAGGACCGGGGACACGGGCCGCGCGGCUGGACAGGAGGCUCAUAGUGGUCAAGAGAGCGCUGCGAGCGGUCGCGGGUUCCUGAACUGGGUGGAGGAGCGGAGAUUGGAGGAGCGAAGAUUGGAGGAUCCGGAGCACUGUGGCUUCCUCGUGCCUUCUGCACUCCUUUUAUCUACACUCAUCUCUCCCCACUGACAGGAAACUCAAGCUUUGGGAUGCUGGGGAAAUUCCCUGAACUCAUGGGGCAGUGUGGAAAGAAGAGGCAGGUCAUUCUAGGUUUCUUGAAUGACUUUAUGAAUCUCUGGACUUCAACCAGCUUUGGAAGCCAAGAUAACAUGAUAACAAGAGACCCUUGUCUCUUGCCACUUGAAGUCAGUGGCCUGAAAGGACCACUGAAUUUUGUUAACUCCCCUACAGAUCACCUACUUUGAAAAUCCAUGCUUUUUCCAUUCAUUCUCUUCUCCAGAGGAAAUUGCUGUUCUGAUUUUUAGUUUUGCCUACUCUUGAACUUUUUAAAAACGGAAUCAUCCAAUGUGUACUCUUUUAUGCCUGGCUUUUUUUUGCUCAACUUAAUGUCUGUGAGAUUCACACAUGUUAUUGUGAAUAUUAGUAGUAUACUUUGUAUUCAAUUAAAUAUUCAUUGAAUAAUUCAAAUUAAGCAUUCAAUUGUAGAAAUAUAUGCAGGUUUAUUUAUUCAUUCAUCUGUUGUUGGACAGUUGGGUCAUUUUCAAUAGUUUGACUAUUAUGAAGUGGCUGUAAACAUUAUUAUAUAAGUCUUUUUGCACAUCAUAGGAAAAGAUUGCCAUAAAAUUAUUGUCACUCUUCCUAUUGAGAUGUGGCACCUAUGUUUCAUACCCGUGAAUCUGAACUGGCCCUGUGGCUGGUUUUGAUCAAUAUAAUUUGGCAGAACUGAUGCUGUGUAACUUGUGCAAGGAUAUCUACAGCUUCCACCUUGGUCUUUUGGAAUGAUUCUUCUUGGAACCCAACCCCUGUGCUUUGAGAAGCCUGAGCUAUGUGUAGAGGCCGUAUGGAAGAGAACCAAGGCACUCCAGCUGAUGGGCCUCACUGGGCUCCCAGCUGAGAGCCAGCACCAACCUGCAACCGUGUAAGCAAUCGUCUUGUACUUUCCAACCUAGUCAAAUUUCAGAUGUCUGCAACUCCAGCCACAUGGAGCAAAAGAUUCACAGAGAUGAGUCCAGUCCCCUAUCAACCCAGAUA